Long non-coding RNA from Cyanistes caeruleus (blue tit), 2128 nucleotides. The record is from Ensembl. NCBI's taxonomy places the organism in Eukaryota, Metazoa, Chordata, Aves, Passeriformes, Paridae.
GCCCAGCCCAGCUCUUGUGCUUUUAUUUGUCAACACUUAUUUUUGUUUCCUGACACAAAGUGGAAACAUUUGGUCAGUGUUUUGGCUCGUGUCCCUGCUGUUUUCCCUGUCUCCUGCAGUGUCACAUGGAAGGACAUUCCAGGCUUUAUUUUUUGUCAUUCCUGACAGGCAUGAAGCUGUAAAAUAUUUGGGUGGCUGCUAACAGUGUUUUAAUCCCAGGAGAUGUUUUUUUCCCUGGCUCCAGGGCUGCCCUUUGGGUGAGGGAAUGUUCUCAAAACCUUCUGCAGAGCUGCUAAGAGCCAGGGCAGGCUGGAUCCAGGUGCUGUGAAUCCCUGUGCUUGUUCCUACUCCCAAGCUGCUCUUCCAUGCCUCUUUUCAGGUAGUUGAAGCUGAAAGAAUUGGUUUUGAACAGAGGCUUGGAGCCUGCCUGCUCGAGGGAACUUCACUGCACCCUUGAAGAAUUACCUAAUGUGGUGAGAUUCACUUGUCUGGUUACCUAAGUGCUUUGUUCCUGCUUUUCCAGAGAGGAAUUGCUGACUCCCAUCAAUGUGUGCUCUGAAAUUGUGUUUCCUGGAAUCUGCAUCCCUUCCCAAAUGCCAGAAGUCCAUUAGAGUAGAGCAAAAGACAUUAAAAAAGCCCCUUAGUUUAAUACUUUCACCUGCAGGGUUGAUAAAAAUUCCAUCCUUGCCCCAGAACUUCCUCUGUGACAUCUGCACAAUUCCAUUCCUCCCACAAACCAGCCACAAGGAUCCUUCCUGCUCUGGUUCCUGCUUAAAGCCCCUCAGGGCAGCUGCUGCCUGAAUAUUUACUCCAGCCAGGCUCGUGGGGGAAGAGCGAUACAAAGCAAACAGGGAAGUGCAGACAGAAAAUGCAUUAGAAAUGUUUGGAAAAGGCACUCCAAGGUCUCCCCAGGCUGGUCAGAGAGGAAAGUUUUCCAGGAUUGCAGCAGGCUGCUGUUAUUCCCUGGGCUGCUUUUUUGGAGUUUGUACCCAGCCCUACAUCGAUUGUGGAGAGGUGGCCCAGAGCCCUCUGUGUGCUCAUGGAAAACCUUCCAGCAAAACUUUUGUGACACAUUUCCUAUAGGAAACGGAACAGUGAUUGUUUCUGGGAAAAAUAAAAAAGCUGAACUAAAGACUCUUCUGCCCCAGCAGCAAAUAAAGAGAGCAUCAAAAUAUUUUAGUAUCAAGGCUUGCUUUCCAUCAGAUUUCCUCCUGCCCUUGCAAAAUGAUGCAGCAACAAAAAAAAAGUACCUAAAGGAAAGGGGGAUUUUCAGGAGCCUGUUGUGUUACCUGAGCGUGGAUUCAAUGAUCCAGCUGCUUGGGAAAUGCAGUUUUGCUGGAAUUGUUACCAAGGGAAGCCUUGCUGGGAUGUUUCAGUGCCUGCUCUGGUUUCAUCCUUCCCUAGGAGUGACUUUUAGGAAGAGUUCAGUGACUACUGAGGCAGAAAAUCAACUGAUCCUUUUGUCAGGAGCUUUUUCUCUCAGGGGCAGGAUGAGGCUUCUCCAGGGCAGUCCAGGGGAUGAGGCCAGAGCCUGUCUUGCCACAAAAAGUCAAAAUUCCUUUUCUGGGCAAUGCCUGCCUUGGUGAAGUGCUGUGUCGAACACUGUAGGCCGGCCUGCAGGGAGAGCAUUGUAGGGCGGCCUGAAGAGGGGCUUAGAUCAACCUGAACUGUUCCUAGACUGGGCUGAAAUGGGGUUUAGACUGGCCUGGAGAGGGGUUUAGGCUGGUUUACAGUGGGGGUUUUGGAUAAACCUGAGCUGUUGUUGGACCAGCCUGAAGCGGGGCUUUAGCCUUUCCUGAAGUGUGUUGUUGUUAGACCAUGCCUGAAGCUUUAGACCAGCCUAACACCAUCCCAGCUCUUCCCUCUUCAUCCCUUGGCUGAAAAAUCCCCCAAACCAGUGGCAGGUUGGGAAAGAGGGAAUUCUUUUUGGGGUCAGAGUGGCUUUUAGGAGCACCUGAUUGUGUUGACCAUAAAUCUUUUUCGCUGCUGCAUCUCUUUGUUUUUCUGGGCUUUAUUUGGAGGGUGAGUUACCCCCCAACUCCAUAAUCUGGGGAAAUUUUCUCCUUCACUUCUUUUCUUCCUCCCCAGAACAACAAUUUGAAGGCAAUAAAGCAAAACACAAACUCUG